GCUGGCGGCAGGCCUAACACAUGCAAGUCGAGCGGUAACAUUUCUAGCUUGCUAGAAGAUGACGAGCGGCGGACGGGUGAGUAACGCGUAGAAAUCUACCUAGUAGUGGGGGAUAGCCCGGAGAAAUUUGGAUUAAUACCGCAUACGCCCUACGGGGGAAAGCGGGGGAUCUUCGGACCUCGUGCUAUUAGAUGAGUCUGCGUCGGAUUAGCUUGUUGGUGAGGUAAUGGCUCACCAAGGCGACGAUCCGUAGCUGGUCUGAGAGGAUGACCAGCCACACUGGAACUGAGACACGGUCCAGACUCCUACGGGAGGCAGCAGUGGGGAAUAUUGCACAAUGGGCGCAAGCCUGAUGCAGCCAUGCCGCGUGUGUGAAGAAGGCCUUAGGGUUGUAAAGCACUUUCAGCAGUGAGGAAAGGGGUGUCGUUAAUAGCGCCAUCCUGUGACGUUAACUGCAGAAGAAGGACCGGCUAACUCCGUG
RNAcentral lists this ribosomal RNA (481 nucleotides) under uncultured bacterium. Its description in RNAcentral is "bacterial SSU rRNA". It matches the Rfam family "Bacterial small subunit ribosomal RNA", at positions 35 to 507 of the family's 1533-position model. The record is from RNAcentral.